This 253-nucleotide ribosomal RNA is filed under the name uncultured bacterium. RNAcentral describes it as "partial 16S ribosomal RNA". It matches the Rfam family "Bacterial small subunit ribosomal RNA", at positions 524 to 776 of the family's 1533-position model. The record is from RNAcentral.
CACGUAGGGUGCGAGCGUUAAUCGGAAUUACUGGGCGUAAAGCGUGCGCAGGCGGUUUUGUAAGCCAGAUGUGAAAGCCCCGGGCUUAACCUGGGAAUGGCAUUUGGGACUGCAAGGCUUGAGUGCGGCAGAGGAGACUGGAAUUCCCGGUGUAGCAGUGAAAUGCGUAGAUAUCGGGAGGAAUACCGAUGGCGAAGGCAGGUCUCUGGGCUGACACUGACGCUCAUGCACGAAAGCGUGGGGAGCAAACAGG